GCGUCCGUAGCUCAGUUGGUUAGAGCACCACCUUGACAUGGUGGGGGUCAGUGGUUCGAUUCCACUCGGACGUACCA
RNAcentral lists this transfer RNA (77 nucleotides) under Candidatus Moranella endobia PCIT. RNAcentral's name for it is "tRNA-Val (GAC) (tRNA-Val-GAC-1-1)". It matches the Rfam family "tRNA". From Rfam's summary of the family: Transfer RNA (tRNA) molecules are approximately 80 nucleotides in length. Their secondary structure includes four short double-helical elements and three loops (D, anti-codon, and T loops). Lineage: Bacteria; Pseudomonadati; Pseudomonadota; Gammaproteobacteria; Enterobacterales; Enterobacteriaceae. The record is from RNAcentral. RNAcentral also lists the same sequence under 1 other name.